RNA transcript from Daphnia carinata, 1352 nucleotides. It is a transcript of the gene named E3 ubiquitin-protein ligase Hakai-like, with no coding region annotated. Lineage: Eukaryota; Metazoa; Arthropoda; Branchiopoda; Diplostraca; Daphniidae. The record is from RefSeq and is a predicted model, not a curated record. The transcript is spliced from 5 exons.
UGUAGCAAUACACAUCGCAAUGUAUAAUGACAUUUCUUGUUAACAUGUCAAUUGCGUGCGACCUUUUUUAAUUGUUUUACUUUCUAUUGAUAGUGACUGUUGUACUUUUUUCUUGUGUAACAAUGGAUUCUGAUAGUUCACCAACUAAAAAAGGAAGUAAAAGCCGGGGACGAGGACGUGGGACAUCAACUACGCCAUCGAACCGAGGCCGGCCGCGGGGUAGAGGCCGGGGUAAACGAGCAGUUAAAUUGAUACUCAGCGAUGAUGAUGAAUCAGAAGGUGAGGAGCAAACAUCACCAAUCAAAAUUGUUGAUACCGAAAAUGAGAAACCUGUAGCUUGCAGCCCCGAACUUAUUAUCAAGCACCCUGAAUUUGAUUUAGAGGCUGACAUAUCCCAGCUCCAGGCACCUACUUUCACAACUAUCAACAGAGGCCCCCCGGAGCCUAUGCUGCACCUGACCUGGAACCUACCAGUUAACCUGAUUGGGGAAAAAGUUCUCAAUCCAAUGAUCCAUUGUUGUGACAAGUGUUUGAAACCUAUUCUCAUCUAUGGCCGCCUUAUUCCCUGCAAACAUGUAUUUUGCUUGGGUUGUGGAAGGCAAGAGGAGCACCAACCCUGUCCGAGGUGCCGUGAGAGGGUGGCGCGAGUGGAGCAAACGAGCCUUGGUCAAGUGUUUAUGUGUACUCACGGUGGUUCGCGUUACGGCAAUGACGGCUGUCGUCGGACUUAUCUAUCACAGCGGGAUUUGCAAGCGCACAUUAAUCAUCGACACCUUCGGCUCCCGCCGGAAAAGGAGCCACAAAAAAUCAGCACCGUCCCUCUGUCCGGCUCUCGUGGUUCUCAGCAUAUGCCUGUUCUGCACAGUCGUUCCAAUCUUGUGUCCGUGCACAUUCAAGAUCCUACGACGGGUUUGCCCAGUAACAAUAGUGGUAAUGCGGGAAAUUAUUACAACAGUAUAGCACCUCCGACAAGUGCUGGAUACAGUUACUCGUACAGUUCCCAAACCGGCCAUUACACCAACUCUAGUUAUUACGCCAAUUACCAGCAGCCCGCACCUCCUCCUCCUCCGCCACCACCGCCUCAGCAACAGCAUCAGUACGAUGGCAAUCAAUCGUACGCCAAUCAGUGGAGUUCAACCACCAAUCAAUCGUUCUAUCGGUGAAAAUGAGAUAUGGAUGUCCAACAACGAGAGACAAACGGACAAGAACAUGCUAUCCUUAGCCAAAACAAUCCAUGGCUGGACUGGAGGAAAAAAAGGGAGAAAAACGGACAGUAUUUACAAAAAAAAAUUGGACGUAUGCACUAAGCUGUUGGCUUAGGAACAGAUGGCUCAAUUUCAACAGCAACUGUG